CAGCACCUCAAGUUGUCAGGAUGAUUAUUGGGCCUAAAGCAUCCGUAGCCGGCGCUGUAAGUUUUCGGUUAAAUCUGUACGCUCAACGUACAGGCUGCCGGGAAUACUGCAGAGCUAGGGAGUGGGAGAGGUAGACGGUACUCGGUAGGAAGGGGUAAAAUCCUUUGAUCUAUUGAUGACCACCUGUGGCGAAGGCGGUCUACCAGAACACGUCCGACGGUGAGGGAUGAAAGCUGGGGGAGCAAACCGGAUUAGAGACCCGAGUAGUCC
Molecule: ribosomal RNA, 270 nt
Filed under: uncultured archaeon
Lineage: Archaea
Description: partial 16S ribosomal RNA
Rfam family: Archaeal small subunit ribosomal RNA
Source: RNAcentral